This 327-nucleotide unclassified non-coding RNA is filed under the name Hevea brasiliensis (rubber tree). The stretch from base 46 to 138 matches the Rfam family "Small nucleolar RNA R64/Z200 family". Lineage: Eukaryota; Viridiplantae; Streptophyta; Magnoliopsida; Malpighiales; Euphorbiaceae. The record is from RNAcentral.
GGGGGUUUUUUUUAUUAGUUUCAACAAUUCGAAGAUAUAUUCAAGCUUCUGCUAUGAUGAAUUUAUGAAACAAUUCACAUGUCAGACUUCAGAGAUUAUUCAAUCAGUGAGAAGGAAAUUCAUAUUUCUGAGCAGAGUUGAAAUUAUUUUCGAUUUCUUGUUCUACAGAGCUAAUUUCUAAGCUGUCUUUGGGGAUGAGAAAUUGCUGGCGUUUAAAUGCUUUCCACUGAGGAAUUCCUUGUAUUCUAUAGAAGAAUCAUUAAGCCCAAGGCUCUGUUAAUUAUUUUAAAAGUUCUUAUAAUCGAAUACAAGGAAUUCCUCAGUGGA